This 253-nucleotide ribosomal RNA is filed under the name uncultured bacterium. RNAcentral describes it as "partial 16S ribosomal RNA". It matches the Rfam family "Bacterial small subunit ribosomal RNA", at positions 524 to 776 of the family's 1533-position model. The record is from RNAcentral.
GACGAACCGUGCAAACGUUGUUCGGAAUCACUGGGCUUAAAGGGCGCGUAGGCGGGCUCGCCAGUCAGGGGUGAAAGCCCACGGCUCAACCGUGGAAGUGCCUUUGAUACUGCGAGUCUCGAGGGAGGUAGGGGCGUGCGGAACUUCCGGUGGAGCGGUGAAAUGCGUAGAUAUCGGUUGGAACGCCAAUGGUGAAAACAGGUUGCUGGGAGUGCGCUGACGCUGAGACACGAAAGCCAGGGGAGCGAACGGG